Long non-coding RNA from Papaver somniferum (opium poppy), 2668 nucleotides. RefSeq lists it as uncharacterized. The record is from RefSeq and is a predicted model, not a curated record. The transcript is spliced from 12 exons. Lineage: Eukaryota; Viridiplantae; Streptophyta; Magnoliopsida; Ranunculales; Papaveraceae.
CUAAAGGGUUUCCAGAGAUCUUGUGGUAGAUUGAAGCUUCAAUGGUAAUUCAAAGAUUUGAAGCAUUUUUGAGGUGAAGAUUUAGAAAAACACUAUCACCGUUUCAGAAUUUUAUCAUGAUUUUGUGCUCAAAUUCAUCAGAUUCGUUCAAUUCAUUCCAUUUCCUCUUUAUAAACCCUAAAAUUCCCCAAAAAAAAUGUAACUCGGUUGAAUGUUGAACUGCUCAAUGGUGAAAUCCGUGAAGGAUCCGUGGUUCGGUUGACUGAUUGUAUGUGUAAUACUGUUCAGAAUCCAAAGAUUAUUGUUAUAUCGUACAUAGAGACUGUUACCUCAGAGUUUAGUCUCAUUUAACAUCUCAAAGUGCCCCUUCUGGUAAUAAUGGUAGAUAUCCGUCCAGGAUUCUGUGUAAUAUGUCAGCUCCAACUGGUAGUAGUAAUAAGACGAUGAGUUUUCGUCCUACUUUGCAACCUGCAUAGCAACCUCCGGCGCCAAAUUACAAGUAUGAGUGGGAGAUAACAGGGUGCUAUCUCCCCUUCAUUCUUGGAUACUAGAGUUUCAGUUGUACCAUACCUGACUAAGGAAAAGGAGAUCGUCAUGCCUAAAGAGCCAGCCAGCCAGGCAAAGUUGGGAUAUAUGUUGGUGGUGUUCCAGCUUAUGAUCUUAGCCGCAGCUGCAAUGCUCGUGCAUAUGUUGCUGUUGAUGUCCUUGAUAGAUUAUACAAAAUGAUUAUGCUGCUGAUCGUAAUGUCUACUUUUCGUCUGACAAAUUCCCCGCGUACGGCCUGCUAUCUGGGCGAAAAUCAGAAGACAAUCUAGCUGGUGAUAGUGAGAGAGUUCAAGACAGUUUAACUUCAAAGAAAUAAAGUCAAAAUGACUUUGCAUUAUGGAAGGAUGCAAAGCUGGGAGAGAUUAGCUGGGUAAGUUCUUUGGGACCUGUCACCUGUCAAUUACUUACCAGUCACAUGUCAAUUACUCACAAGAACGGACUGAACUUGCAUCUGACUGUGUUUUCUACUCGUAUAAGGAUUAUUGUUAUAUCGUACAUAGAGACUGUUACCUCAAAGUUUAGUCUCAUUUAACAUCUCAAAGUGCUCCUUCUGGUAAUAAUGGUAGAUAUCCGUCCAGGAUUCUGUGUAAUAUGUCAGCUCCAACUGGUAGUAGUAAUAAGACGAUGAGUUUUUGUCCUACUGUGCAACCUGCCAACCUCCAGCGCCAAAUUACAAGAAUGAGUGGGAGAUAACAGGGCGCUAUCUCCCGUUGAUUCUUGGACACUAGAGUUUCAGUUACAAUAGCAUGACUAAGGAAAAGGAGAUCGUCAUACCUAAAGAGCCAGGCAAAGUUAGUGUUCCAGCUUAUGAUCUUAGCUGCAUCUGCAAUGCUUGUUCAUAUGUUGCUAUUGAUGUCCUUGAUAGAUACCUAUAACAUUUGGGCUAUCCAGUUACGUAUGUACGCAAGUUCACUGACAUUGAUGACAAGAUAAUUAAGCGAGCUGAGGAAGUAGAGUAGGAAGCAUUGGAUUUGAGCAAAUGCUUCUGCGAUAAGUAUCUUAGUGACGUGUGUGAUCAUCACGUCCUUGUUCCUACAAAACAACCCUGUGUUUCUGAAAUCAUGGAAGAAAUUAAGAAUGUGAUAGAGAAGAUUAUACAAAAUGGUUAUGCUUCUGAUGGAAAUGUCUACUUUUCGUCUGAGAAAUUCCCUGCGUACUGCCUGCUAUCUGGGAGAAAACCGGAAGACAAUCUAGCUGGUGAUAGCGAGAGAGUUUUAGACAGUUUAACUUUAAACAAAUAAAGUCAAAAUGACUUUGCAUUGUGGAAGGAUGCAAAGCCGGGAGAGAUUAGCUGGGUAAGUCCUUGGGACCUGUCACCUGUCAAUUACUCACAAGAACGGAUUGAACUUGCAUCUGACUAUGUUUUAUACUCGUAUAAGGCUUUGCUGGAGUGUGAAGAGACCUUAUAUUCUUUUCGAUAGAAAAAUCCUGUGAUGCCAAAGUGCAAAUUAUUGGACUUAACUCCUGAGGCUCAGAAGUGCAUUGAGAAAUUAAAGAAUGAUUUCUACGCUAAAGUGUCAGAUGAUGUCCACAAUGAGGACUUCUUGAAUGCUGCAGCUCUUGAGGAAAUUUUGAAGGUCAUGAACCAUCUCAAGAAGGAAGAGCACUAGAGCAGCAUGACCUUUCAUUGUUCCUGUCUCUUGCUGAAAUGGAGAAAGAAGUGAAGCUGGUUUUAGAUACUCUUGGACUAAUGUCAUUUUCAUCCUAUUCAGAGUGGUGUGUACUGAACAGGUUGUGAGGUAAUUCAAAGUUCAGGAUUUGACAGAGAGCAAAGUUGACUGAGGAAGAUGUUUUGUAACAAAUAGAACUUAAGACCCAGGCAAAGAAAGGCAAGGAAUUUGUGAAGAGUGACAGAAUCAGGCUCGUCUUGACUGUUAAGGGGAUCUUUCUUGUGGAUUUGGAUGACGAAAAUCAAUGGAGACCUUGUGUCUGAAAGAUCAGAAACUUGUGAAAUGUCGCAGUCUACUGAAAUAAACAAAGUCCUCAACUGCCUCAACAAUGGUGAACCAGAACUAAACUGGUAUAUGUAAAUCUAUAAUCCCUUGGACAGCAUCUGAACUGAAUUUCAUACAGAAUUUCUUACUUAUCUGGAGUUGCAAACCAAUUUUUUGCCUAAUCAUCA